GAUGAACGCUGGCGGCGUGCCUAAUACAUGCAAGUCGAGCGAACAGAUGAGGAGCUUGCUCCUCUGACGUUAGCGGCGGACGGGUGAGUAACACGUGGAUAACCUACCUAUAAGACUGGGAUAACUUCGGGAAACCGGAGCUAAUACCGGAUAAUAUAUUGAACCGCAUGGUUCAAUAGUGAAAGACGGUUUUGCUGUCACUUAUAGAUGGAUCCGCGCCGCAUUAGCCAGUUGGUAAGGUAACGGCUUACCAAGGCAACGAUGCGUAGCCGACCUGAGAGGGUGAUCUGCCACACUGGAACUGAGACACGGUCCAGACUCCUACGGGAGGCAGCAGUAGGGAAUCUUCCGCAAUGGGCGAAAGCCUGACGGAGCAACGCCGCGUGAGUGAUGAAGGUCUUCGGAUCGUAAAACUCUGUUAUUAGGGAUGAACAAAUGUGUAAGUAACUAUGCACGUCUUGACGGUACCUAAUCAGAAAGCCACGGCUAACUACGUG
RNAcentral lists this ribosomal RNA (497 nucleotides) under uncultured bacterium. RNAcentral describes it as "partial 16S ribosomal RNA". It matches the Rfam family "Bacterial small subunit ribosomal RNA", at positions 28 to 507 of the family's 1533-position model. The record is from RNAcentral.